This 259-nucleotide ribosomal RNA is filed under the name uncultured Atopobium sp. Its description in RNAcentral is "partial 16S ribosomal RNA". It matches the Rfam family "Bacterial small subunit ribosomal RNA", at positions 97 to 354 of the family's 1533-position model. The record is from RNAcentral. Lineage: Bacteria; Bacillati; Actinomycetota; Coriobacteriia; Coriobacteriales; Atopobiaceae.
GGCGAACGGCUGAGUAACACGUGGGCAACCUGCCCUUUGCACUGGGAUAGCCUCGGGAAACCGAGGUUAAUACCGGAUACUCCAUAUUUGUCGCAUGGCGAAUAUGGGAAAGCUCCGGCGGCAAAGGAUGGGCCCGCGGCCUGUUAGCUAGUUGGUGGGGUAGUGGCCUACCAAGGCAAUGAUGGGUAGCCGGGUUGAGAGACCGACCGGCCAGAUUGGGACUGAGACACGGCCCAGACUCCUACGGGAGGCAGCAGAC